AGGGCACCACCAGGAGUGGAGCCUGCGGCUUAAUUUGACUCAACACGGGAAAACUCACCCGGCCCGGACACCGUGAGGAUUGACAGAUUGAUAGCUUUUUCAUGAUUCGGUGGUUGGUGGUGCAUGGCCGUUCUUAGUUCGUGGAUCGAUUUGUCUGGUUUAUUCCGAUAACGAGCGAGACUCCAGCCUACUAAAUAGUGCGGGCGUUGCCUUUGCGCCCUUGCACUUCUUAGAGGGAUUGGCUGCGUCUGGCGGCACGAAACGGAGCAAUAACAGGUCUGUGAUGCCCUUGGAUGUCCGGGGCUGCACGCGCGCUACACUGGCAAAGGCAGCGUGCUUGUCCUGCGCCGAAAGGCGUGGGUAAACCAUUGAAAAUUUGCCAUGAUUGGGAUCGGAAAUUGCAAUUAUUUUCCGUGAACGAGGAAUUCCUAGUAAGUGCGAGUCAUCAGCUCGCGUUGAUUACGUCCCUGCCCUUUGUACACACCGCCCGUCGCUGCCUAGAACUGAGCCAUUUCGAGA
Molecule: ribosomal RNA, 519 nt
Filed under: uncultured eukaryote
Lineage: Eukaryota
Description: SSU rRNA
Rfam family: Eukaryotic small subunit ribosomal RNA
Source: RNAcentral